This 423-nucleotide ribosomal RNA is filed under the name uncultured eukaryote. RNAcentral's name for it is "bacterial SSU rRNA". It matches the Rfam family "Eukaryotic small subunit ribosomal RNA", at positions 592 to 1018 of the family's 1831-position model. The record is from RNAcentral.
CAAUAGCGUAUAUUAAAGUUGUUGCAGUUAAAAAGCUCGUAGUUGGAUUUCUGGCAGGAGUGACCGGCCGCACACACUGUGUGUGAGUUGCGUCAUUCUGGCCAUCCUUGGUGAGAUCCUGUUUGGCAUUAAGUUGUCGGGCAGGGGAUAACCAUCGUUUACUGUGAAAAAUUAGAGUGUUUAAAGCAGGCUUAUGCCGUUGAAUAUAUUAGCAUGGAAUAAUAAGAUAGGACUUUGAGUCUAUUUUGUUGGUUUCUAGAUCUGAAGUAAUGAUUGAUAGGGAUAGUUGGGGGUGCUAGUAUUAAGGGGCCAGAGGUGAAAUUCUUGGAUUCUCUUAAGACUAACUUAUGCGAAAGCAUUCACCAAGGAUGUCUUCUUUAAUCAAGAACGAAAGUUGGGGGAUCGAAGACGAUCAGAUACCAU